UUCCAUACAAUGUCUUAGUUGGAUUCUGGAGUUUUGUUUUGUAGAUACUUGAAAUUGUCGUAAACUAUUUUAUAGUUAUGAUGCCUUUUCUGAAGUGCAUGGGGGCUGUUUAUGCAGUAUUUUGUUCUAAUUACUAAUUAUGUCUAUUUUUUGGUAAAAAAAUAAAAAUAGAAUAUUGUAUAUUAAACAAGUUAGUGAACUUUUUGAGUUUAUGAGACUAUUGAAAUUAGCUUAUUUGUUGUCUAGAAGUUGAAAAAGACUAGACACUACUAGAAAAAUAUGAUAUGAUGACGCACAUUCUACAUCGGUGCUGAAGAACCCGUCGUAGUUGUCAACACGGUGGCAAUUACGUAAUUAUAUAAGUUUUUUAUGUGGCGCGUUUGUUGUACAACGACGUUUGUCUAGAACCCCGUCGUUGUAGUUUUGAUGGAAGUCAUCAAAGAUGGUGCUUGUAGGUACACCGUCCUAGAAAUAGUCACAUACAAAGUCGGUGUCACUAAACACCGUCGUAAAUUUUGUACUUUAUAUAGUCUCGUGGUAAACACCCUCGUACCCUCCAAAAACCUAGCGCCCCCGCUAUUGCCUGAACUACUUCAUCCCGCCGUGAACUUCGUCCCGCUACCACCCUGACGUUUUGUUUCUCGUCGUGAAGUACUUGAAGCCGAAGUGGACCUGCUGCUCCCACCACCGGUACCGCCACGUAGCCGAAGUCGUGCCUUUUUGAGUGGCGUUGCCACCUUUUGAGUGUUCCUAAAGAUGUGACAUUUCUUGAUCAAGUAUGUGGGGGUUGGUGAAUCAAAGGAUGUGCAGGCCUUCUACUAUUCAAUUGAGUCAGAGAACAAUCCCAAAGAGGAUCCUCUCAUGCUUUGGCUUAUUGUGGCCCUGGUUACUCAUGGUUUCCUCGCAUUGUCCUUGAAAUUGUUGCAUUUAAUCAUGAGCAAUAUAAUGGGAGCCUUCCCACUUUGAUCUUGAGGCUACAAUCACAGACAAAGUCAGGGAAGUGCUACCUUGUCAUAUCCAAACCACGUACAAAUUUUUGGGAGCUUUCACCACAUGCUUUAACACCAAUGCAUGGGAGAGUUAAUGUCUGGCCAAAGCAGAUGCUGUGUGGAUAUCUAAAGAGUAGAGAAGCUAAUAUUGUGGAAGUAAUUGAAGGUGGAGCAAAAUCUUUGUUUGACAUUAUAGCAUAUGCAUAUUCUGAUGUUGACCACCGUGUCUGGAUUGCUAUCAUCAAAUGUGAGGCUCCAUGUGGAUCAUCUAGCCCAACAACACAAUUUACCAAAGCAAAAGAAGAUGCUUGUUAGCUUGUAAAUGAAGUUGUAUGAGAAGGGUAUUUGGUGUGGUGGGUCUUCCUAAUCCAUUGAAGAGAAAUUAUUAAAAUAUGAAGUAUGUUCUUAUCUAAAUCACCCUUAUUUAUCCAGAUUAAGGCAGCCUUCAGUAGAAUAUAGGAAGGUGCAAAGUUCCCUCUUUUGGGGUAGAGUCAAUUCAUCAAUUAGGAGUUGGUGAGAGAAUGGAAGCCACAGAGCAGAACAAUUCAAAGGUGAUGUUGAUUGAUUCUUUGCAAUCAUGGGAGUUCCACGUCAACCAAGCCUAUAAUCAGAAUACUCCUCUAAGACACUCAUUUUAAGCCAAAGUUUGGAUCUUUUAAUUUUUUUCAACCCUGGUCUGGAAAGAGUGUGCAAAAAGGGCAUUUAAGCUUCAAGUUAUUUACAAAAUUCAUUUUUUACUUUGAUUUUGUAUUUUUGGUUUUCAAUGCUUGUUUUAAUUUGUCUUCUUGUUCUUCCUUGUGGAUAUAGUAUAUUAAUUUAUGGCUUAUGUAUUUUGUGGGAUGGAUCAAUGUAGGUUGUUGUUGUAACAGUCGUAACUUUCCAUAACUUUUAAUAAGUAAAUAAGAAAUUAAUAAAUAAAUAAAUAAGUAAAAAAAAUUAUUAGGUCAUAAAUUCUUAUUAUAUAAGCCAAAUGUUAACCUAGAGCAGCAAAAACACAUUCUGUUCCUUUCUUCUUUUCUGACGCACAAGAACCCUAACAGAGCAAUCAGAGGAGGAGCUCUAGAGAGCACCAAAGAUGCCACAAUUGCUAACAGAGAACAUUUAAGCGACUACAUCGAGGUGAGCCUUCAUAUGAUGAGUCACAUGCUAGAGAUGGAGAGACUUAGUCUGUGAUAGGAAUAUGCUCUGAUAAGUGUGACAUUGAGGCAUAGGAUUUUACUUCGCUUAUUAUGAUUUUCGCAUGUUAUGAUUUACUGAAUGAUAUAAUUGCGUUAUACUUUUUCUAUUUUAGUUUUUUUUAUUAUUUAUUUAGAGGG
Glycine soja is the source of this 2305-nucleotide RNA transcript. RefSeq lists it as uncharacterized. The record is from RefSeq and is a predicted model, not a curated record. NCBI's taxonomy places the organism in Eukaryota, Viridiplantae, Streptophyta, Magnoliopsida, Fabales, Fabaceae. The transcript has 7 exons.